This 2308-nucleotide long non-coding RNA is filed under the name Musa acuminata (dwarf banana). RNAcentral's name for it is "long non-coding RNA (MACU_LNC000486)". Lineage: Eukaryota; Viridiplantae; Streptophyta; Magnoliopsida; Zingiberales; Musaceae. The record is from RNAcentral.
AGUUGAAAUAGCCAUUUCUUUUCCAUGAUGUAGUGAAAAGGUUAACUAUAAUCAAAAGGAUUCACUCUUGACAUCAAAAUUUGAUUGACUUUUCACAAUACGAAGCCAAACAAAGUUAUUCGAUGUCUUUCACUCAUUUCUAGGAUAACUUUUGUUGUCAAGCUUGUUUAUGAAGAAUCUCUUCCUUGCGGCGUAUGAAUUGUGCCGGUGAAGCCUGUUAUCGUUGAGCUAAUCUUCUUCUGACCUUGUGCUAGCUUUGUUAGUCAUCCAUCACUACGAAUCGCGACGGCUCAGUUGUUUGUGACUUCUUUCUAGCUUCGUUCGAGCAGUCCUAAUCUUCAAUCAACAGCAUAAUAGUCGUCAAAAAGAACCAUCCAUCUUUCCGCACCUCCAUGUUCUGAGAGUCACAGCAGAAUCAUAUUGUUCUUCCCCUACGCCGAAUCUGCAAGCUAAAGAUGCCUCCUUUAAGCACAAAAGGAAAUGUGAACAAGGCUUUAAGUUUCUGUCGUUACAUCCAGUAAUCUGGUAAGAAGAGAAGAACAACCAGAAAGUAGAUUCCUCAGCCAGCUACUUGUAAUCAUGGUGGAAUUCUGAUGUGUGUUCUUGGUGAUGUGAGUGCUAAAGUUGAGAUCUUUGUUGAAAAGCAGAAGAAUAUUGCUGAGGCAGUACUUCAUUUCAACGCAUACUUGAGAGCGAAGGCAUUUGCUCUCUUCGUCGUGCUAAAAAAGCCUGCAAGCCAAACCAAAGCGCGUGUCGACGAACCUUCCGAAGAUUGCACCACUUCGUCCUCCGUUAUAUAUAGCCCCUCCAACUACACGUCGCUAGCGAAGCUUCCAAGCGUGGUAGCCCCCGAACUUGGGCCUUUUGGUGGUGGAGACCGAUGGCUGAAAAGCGUGGCUGGUUCAGGAAACUCAACAAGGAGCACCGUUGGCUGUGGAAACCCAGCUUCUCCACCUCAUGGUGGUGGAAGCGCCCCAGGCUCCGGUUUUCCCUCGUUGACGACCUCACCUUCCGUGUCCUCUACUUCCUUGAGGCCGUCGUCCUCGUCGGCGGUUUCUGCUGCUUCUUCCUCUUCUGUGGCUGCCACAUCUGAUCCAAAAUUCGAUUUUUCUCUUCUUCCGAUGUACAAGGGAUGGCUUUGGGUUGUAUUCUGUUCUUCUAUGAUUGCACAUCUUGUUGAUGUUGGUUGGUCACGGUUGCUGCCAUGGCCGCCCGGUCGAGGGAUCUUGCACACAGGGUGUUUGUGGAAGAAAGUACAGUGAUUGGAGUAGGAAUCGAGGAUGGUUUCAGGAGUGGAGAAAUGAGCGCAGAGACAACCGUAGUUGUUUGUGACUGUCCAGUCCGCUAAUUCUGCAGUGCUUUGACAUUAUUGGCGACAAUCUGAUCCUUAUUUUAGUCUGUGGAUUCGCUUAAGCUGAAGGCUCCUUGUCUGGGGUUGGAAAGAGGAAGAGUUAGAAUGCAUGCUGUCAGCAUAUUUGUUUAUGUCUGCUGAAUUCUAUAACUUACCCUGAUCAUUAUUCCUCAUAAAAAUUCUGGUCUUCUUUAUGCUAAAUACUUGAUGAAUGUCCUAAUGACAUCUUGAUGUCAGUUGAAGGUUACAUGCUGCUAAGAUUUCAUGUAUGAUUGGAAAUGUUAGCCCUUGAUGGCUCAAUUGAUUGCAGGCACUUGAGAUGUAGAUGUUACACAGCUUGAAAUGGUUGUGUAACAUUUCAAGAAGCAAAAAAUAUCUAUUGAGAGUGUGUGAUUUUAAGAAGCAAAAAAUAUCUUUUGAGAGUGUUUGAUUUGCUUGUGGUUGCUGAAUGCUUUGACUUAUUCUGAUUCAUCUUCUUGAUAAUAAUUUUGGUCUUGACAUGUUUGAUAAUGGAAUUCCUCAAGUGGAAGGUUAUAUGCUGCUGAAGCUUCAUCUUUUGGCUAUAAAUGUCAGCAUUUAGUGUAAUGGUCAGAUUUAGGUCAUCACUAAGGGGUGUAAUACUGAUGUUGCAAUCUAUUUAUACUCCAUAUCUUAGAUCAAUUGUCUUGCAGGCAUCUCAUAUUUUUGAUGUUUGAUCUUUUAAGUAACAAAGAUAUGCAUUCCGAGAGGCUUCUUUUUCAUCUUUAUUACCAUGCACUGUAGUAAACUACAUGACUCAAAUUCUUUCUUCUCAUUUGUGUCAGCUCUAAUUCUUCUUUUAAGUGACAAUUUUGUACAACAAAGAAUGGCACACUGUCAUUCUUAAUCAUUGUAUGUAAUUAUAUGAGCCCUUUUCUGUGAUUGGAUUCUUUAUCCUUCAUCAUGUAAAGACUGUUUUCCUUUUCUUUUAAGAGCUUC